AUCCUGGCUCAGGAUGAACGCUAGCUACAGGCUUAACACAUGCAAGUCGAGGGGAAACGACAUCGAAAGCUUGCUUUUGAUGGGCGUCGACCGGCGCACGGGUGAGUAACGCGUAUCCAACCUGCCCAUCACUUGGGGAUAACCUUGCGAAAGUAAGACUAAUACCCAAUGACGUCUCUAGAAGACAUCUGAAGGAGAUUAAAGAUUUAUCGGUGAUGGAUGGGGAUGCGUCUGAUUAGCUUGUUGGCGGGGUAACGGCCCACCAAGGCAACGAUCAGUAGGGGUUCUGAGAGGAAGGUCCCCCACAUUGGAACUGAGACACGGUCCAAACUCCUACGGGAGGCAGCAGUGAGGAAUAUUGGUCAAUGGACGAGAGUCUGAACCAGCCAAGUAGCGUGCAGGAUGACGGCCCUAUGGGUUGUAAACUGCUUUUAUAAGGGAAUAAAGUGAGUCUCGUGAGACUUUUUGCAUGUACCUUAUGAAUAAGGACCGGCUAAUUCCGUGCCAGCAGCCGCGGUAAUACGGAAGGUCCGGGCGUUAUCCGGAUUUAUUGGGUUUAAAGGGAGCGUAGGCCGGAGAUUAAGCGUGUUGUGAAAUGUAGACGCUCAACGUCUGCACUGCAGCGCGAACUGGUUUCCUUGAGUACGCACAAAGUGGGCGGAAUUCGUGGUGUAGCGGUGAAAUGCUUAGAUAUCACGAAGAACUCCGAUUGCGAAGGCAGCUCACUGGAGCGCAACUGACGCUGAAGCUCGAAAGUGCGGGUAUCGAACAGGAUUAGAUACCCUGGUAGUCCGCACGGUAAACGAUGGAUGCCCGCUGUUGGUCUGAAUAGGUCAGCGGCC
RNAcentral lists this ribosomal RNA (842 nucleotides) under uncultured bacterium. Its description in RNAcentral is "bacterial SSU rRNA". It matches the Rfam family "Bacterial small subunit ribosomal RNA", at positions 16 to 848 of the family's 1533-position model. The record is from RNAcentral.